UAUAAUGCAAGUCGAGCGCGGGAGCAGGCAGAUCCUCUUCGGAGGUGACGCCUGUGGAACGAGCGGCGGACGGGUGAGUAACACGUGGGCAACCUGCCUGUAAGAGUGGGAUAACCCCGGGAAACCGGGGCUAAUACCGGAUAAUACUUUUCGUUGCAUAACGAGAAGUUGAAAGGCGGCUUUUAGCUGUCACUUACAGAUGGGCCCGCGGCGCAUUAGCUAGUUGGUAAGGUAACGGCUUACCAAGGCAACGAUGCGUAGCCGACCUGAGAGGGUGAUCGGCCACACUGGGACUGAGACACGGCCCAGACUCCUACGGGAGGCAGCAGUAGGGAAUCUUCCGCAAUGGACGAAAGUCUGACGGAGCAACGCCGCGUGAGUGAUGAAGGUUUUCGGAUCGUAAAACUCUGUUGUCAGGGAAGAACAAGUGCCGUUCUAAUAGGGCGGCACCUUGACGGUACCUGACCAGAAAGCCCCGGCUAACUACGUGCCAGCAGCCGCGGUAAUACGUAGGGGGCAAGCGUUGUCCGGAAUUAUUGGGCGUAAAGCGCGCGCAGGCGGUCCUUUAAGUCUGAUGUGAAAGCCCACGGCUUAACCGUGGAGGGCCAUUGGAAACUGGAGGACUUGAGUACAGAAGAGGAGAGUGGAAUUCCACGUGUAGCGGUGAAAUGCGUACAGAUGUGGAGGAACACCAGUGGCGAAGGCGACUCUCUGGUCUGUAACUGACGCUGAGGUGCGAAAGCGUGGGGAGCGAACAGGAUUAGAUACCCUGGUAGUCCACGCCGUAAACGAUGAGUGCUAGGUGUUAGGGGGUUUCCGCCCCUUAGUGCUGAAGUUAACGCAUUAAGCACUCCGCCUGGGGAGUACGGCCGCAAGGCUGAAACUCAAAAGAAUUGACGGGGGCCCGCACAAGCGGUGGAGCAUGUGGUUUAAUUCGAAGCAACGCGAAGAACCUUACCAGGUCUUGACAUCCUCUGCCAAUCCUAGAGAUAGGAUGUUCCCUUCGGGGACAGAGUGACAGGUGGUGCAUGGUGUCGUCAGCUCGG
This 1046-nucleotide ribosomal RNA is filed under the name Virgibacillus salarius. RNAcentral describes it as "bacterial SSU rRNA". It matches the Rfam family "Bacterial small subunit ribosomal RNA", at positions 52 to 1063 of the family's 1533-position model. Lineage: Bacteria; Bacillati; Bacillota; Bacilli; Caryophanales; Bacillaceae. The record is from RNAcentral.